CAGAGCCUAAAAACUCUCAAACCCACUGUUAAUUAUACCUUUUUUGUUGCUUUGGCGGGCAGUCCCAGGGCGGGGCCUUGCCUGUAUUUUUUGCAGGUGUCCGCCGAAAGCACCCCUAAAAUUCUUUUUUUUAUGGCUGUCUGAGUUUUAAAAAAAAAUAAGUCA
Molecule: unclassified non-coding RNA, 165 nt
Filed under: soil metagenome
Description: partial internal transcribed spacer 1
Source: RNAcentral